GACGCAGCGACGCCGCGUGGGUGACGAAGGCCUUCGGGUUGUAAAGCCCUGUGGGGUAGAACGAACUGGCAUCGGGCUAAUAUCCCCGGUGUCUUGACGGUACUGCCUUAGCAAGCAUCGGCUAACUCUGUGCCAGCAGCCGCGGUAAGACAGAGGAUGCGAACGUUGCUCGGAUUUACUGGGCGUAAAGCGCGUGUAGGCGGUCUCGUUAGUCGGGUGUGAAAGCCCCGGGCUCAACCCGGGGAAGUGCACCCGAUACUGCGAGACUGGGGUACUGAAGAGGAGAGCGGAAUUCCCGGUGUAGAGGUGAAAUUCGUAGAUAUCGGGAGGAACACCAGUGGCGAAGGCGGCUCUCUGGGCAGAUACCGACGCUGAGACGCGAAAGCGUGGGGAGCAAACAGGAUUAGAUACCCUGGUAGUCCACGCUGUAAACGAUGACGACUGGGUGUUGCAGGUAUUGACCCCUGCGGUGACCGAAGCCAACGCGUUAAGUCGUCCGCCUGGGAAGUACGGCCGCAAGGCUAAAACUCAAAGGAAUUGACGGGGG
RNAcentral lists this ribosomal RNA (547 nucleotides) under uncultured bacterium. RNAcentral's name for it is "bacterial SSU rRNA". It matches the Rfam family "Bacterial small subunit ribosomal RNA", at positions 385 to 919 of the family's 1533-position model. The record is from RNAcentral.